This 451-nucleotide ribosomal RNA is filed under the name uncultured bacterium. Its description in RNAcentral is "bacterial SSU rRNA". It matches the Rfam family "Bacterial small subunit ribosomal RNA", at positions 29 to 518 of the family's 1533-position model. The record is from RNAcentral.
AGCGAACGCUGGCGGCAUGCUUAACACAUGCAAGUCGCACGGUCGGGGUAACCCGGCAGUGGCGGACGGGUGAGUAACGCGUAGGUAUCUAUCCAUGGGUGGGGGAUAACGGUUGGAAACGACUGCUAAUACCGCAUGACACCUGAGGGUCAAAGGCGCAAGUCGCCUGUGGAGGAGCCUGCGUUCGAUUAGCUAGUUGUGGGGUAAAGGCCUACCAAGGCGACGAUCGAUAGCUGGUCUGAGAGGAUGAUCAGCCACACUGGGACUGAGACACGGCCCCAGACUCCUACGGGAGGCAGCAGUGGGGGAAUAAUUGGACAAUGGGCGCAAGCCUGAUCCAGCAAUGCCGCGUGUGUGAAGAAGGUCUUCGGAUUGUAAAGCACUUUCGACGGGGACGAUGAUGACGGUACCCGUAGAAGAAGCCCCGGCUAACUUACGUGCCAGCAGCCGC